CCCCCAGUAGCUCAGUGGAUAGAGCAACGGCCUUCUAAGCCGUUGGUCGGGAGUUCGAAUCUCUCCUGGGACGCCA
Molecule: transfer RNA, 76 nt
Filed under: Mycobacteroides abscessus subsp. abscessus
Lineage: Bacteria; Bacillati; Actinomycetota; Actinomycetes; Mycobacteriales; Mycobacteriaceae
Description: tRNA-Arg(tct)
Rfam family: tRNA
About the family: Transfer RNA (tRNA) molecules are approximately 80 nucleotides in length. Their secondary structure includes four short double-helical elements and three loops (D, anti-codon, and T loops).
Source: RNAcentral